This 265-nucleotide long non-coding RNA is filed under the name Mytilus galloprovincialis (Mediterranean mussel). Lineage: Eukaryota; Metazoa; Mollusca; Bivalvia; Mytilida; Mytilidae. The record is from RNAcentral.
AAAAAAAACAUAUAUAAAGUUAUUAUCAAAUGCACCAAGUUGAUUAUAGCAAAAUUGACCAUGUCAUUAUAAUGAGCACUUAAAGCAUUAAUUUUAUUAUAAAUACAGUUUUUCUCUGUAAGAAUCUCCAUUUACUGUUUCUUGAUUAAUCAAAUCUCAUUGUAAUUAAUAUAAAUUGAUAUACUGUUCCAACAGACCAACACCACAGACACAUUGCAACUACAUGUAAAUUUCUGUUCACAUGAUUAUUCUAAAAUGUUUAUAC